RNAcentral lists this ribosomal RNA (253 nucleotides) under uncultured bacterium. RNAcentral describes it as "partial 16S ribosomal RNA". It matches the Rfam family "Bacterial small subunit ribosomal RNA", at positions 524 to 776 of the family's 1533-position model. The record is from RNAcentral.
UACGAAGGGGGCUAGCGUUGUUCGGAAUUACUGGGCGUAAAGGGUGCGUAGGCGGUCGGGUAAGUCUGAUGUGAAAUCUCACAGCUUAACUGUGAAACUGCAUUGGAUACUAUCCGGCUAGAGGAAUGGAGGGGAGACUGGAAUACUUGGUGUAGCAGUGAAAUGCGUAGAUAUCAAGUGGAACACCAGUGGCGAAGGCGAGUCUCUGGACAUUUCCUGACGCUGAGGCACGAAAGCCAGGGGAGCAAACGGG